Molecule: long non-coding RNA, 131 nt
Organism: Aquila chrysaetos chrysaetos
Lineage: Eukaryota; Metazoa; Chordata; Aves; Accipitriformes; Accipitridae
Exons: 3
Source: RefSeq, a predicted model, not a curated record
CGAAGACUGGCCCGGCUCCCUGCUGAGGCUGGGUGGCAGGGACCCUGUUCCCAGUAGAGCCAGGACUGUCACUGGGGUUGGCUGGCUGUAGGCAAAGGGUAGGCAAAACCUGAGCUCAAAACCCAGCCCUG